UGAAGGUUAGUCGAGAACAUAUUUAUGGCUUCGAGCCAUUUGACUUCAACCUCUCUUUUUACUGCACUCAAGAAUUUGCCAACUGGUGGAGGCAAUACUUUUAUAGUAAGCACCUGGGAGAUUCAGCACUCAUCUCCAGGCUGGAGAGUGGUUUCACUCAGCCUCAGAUCAAUAAAAUCGAACGACAAAUCAAAACUGCAGGUAACUUGUCUUUCGAUGUGUACUUUUCUCUUUGCCAUAUACUCCUGUGUUUUUCGAUCUAAACAUUUGUUUAUAUUUCUUAGUUACAAAGAAACAAGCCA
This 302-nucleotide long non-coding RNA is filed under the name Trifolium pratense (red clover). RNAcentral describes it as "long non-coding RNA (TPRA_LNC005183)". Lineage: Eukaryota; Viridiplantae; Streptophyta; Magnoliopsida; Fabales; Fabaceae. The record is from RNAcentral.